This 484-nucleotide ribosomal RNA is filed under the name uncultured bacterium. RNAcentral describes it as "partial 16S ribosomal RNA". It matches the Rfam family "Bacterial small subunit ribosomal RNA", at positions 29 to 507 of the family's 1533-position model. The record is from RNAcentral.
AUUGAACGCUGGCGGAAUGCUUUACACAUGCAAGUCGAACGGCAGCACGGGGGCAGCCCUGGUGGCGAGUGGCGAACGGGUGAGUAAUACAUCGGAACGUGCCCGGUCGUGGGGGAUAACGUAGCGAAAGUUACGCUAAUACCGCAUACGAUCUGAGGAUGAAAGCGGGGGACCUUCGGGCCUCGCGCGAUCGGAGCGGCCGAUGUCAGAUUAGGUAGUUGGUGGGGUAAAGGCCUACCAAGCCGACGAUCUGUAGCUGGUCUGAGAGGACGACCAGCCACACUGGAACUGAGACACGGCCCAGACUCCUACGGGAGGCAGCAGUGGGGAAUUUUGGACAAUGGGCGCAAGCCUGAUCCAGCCAUGCCGCGUGCAGGACGAAGGCCUUCGGGUUGUAAACUGCUUUUGUACGGAACGAAAAGGCUCUGGCUAAUACCUGGGGCUCAUGACGGUACCGUAAGAAUAAGCACCGGCUAACUACGUG